Molecule: ribosomal RNA, 253 nt
Filed under: uncultured bacterium
Lineage: Bacteria
Description: partial 16S ribosomal RNA
Rfam family: Bacterial small subunit ribosomal RNA
Source: RNAcentral
UACGGAGGAUGCAAGCGUUAUCCGGAAUGAUUGGGCGUAAAGCGUCCGCAAGUGGCUGUGUAAGUCUGCUGUCAAAGAGCAAAGCUCAACUUUGUAAAGGCAGUGGAAACUACACGGCUAGAGUGCGUUCGGGGCAGAGGGAAUUCCUGGUGUAGCGGUGAAAUGCGUAGAUAUCGGGAGGAACACCGGUGGCGAAGGCGGCGACCUGGGUAGAUACUGACGCUGAGGCGCGAAAGCGUGGGGAGCAAACAGG